GAAGGACACCUCUGGGGUCUCUGAAGGUCAUGCCUGCUCCACAUUCCAGCCUAGGUUUCUCGGCUUCCUGUUCUGAGUCUUGGGAACAGCCUUGUGUGGAAGUUCCUGCCCCUGUCGAUCAAGCCACCCCCACUGUUACACUUUGCCUCUGCCACGGCUGUAACACCUCUGAAGCCAUCUGCCACAGGAAAUCUUUCUUCCAUGAAGUUGUUUCUGCCAGGUAUUUUGGCCACGGAGAUGCCAAGAUAACUGAUACCCUUAAAGGAAAACAUGUGAAGAAGGCUUUGUCUGUCCUGCACUUCCGUGUCUGCUCCACUGGGCACGGUUCAACCCCAUGCUCCCAGUAGAAGUCCCAUGUCAUAACACAACACAUACAUACCCUGGUAUCACCCAGACCUGAAGACCCAGGAGAAAAAAAGAAAAACAAAAGAAGAACACCUCUUCCAUCUCCUCCACAGCCACAGAGGAGGAUCAGGUCUAGUCCUGUGCACACUUAUCUCUUCCCCUGUCAACACGGGCUCACUCUUAUCUCUGUUAGCCAUUCAUUCACGGCUGAGCUAAACAAAACAGGGCAUCCCGUAAAAGAGGGCAAAGAGGAGGAGCAGGUCUACAAACACACAGAAGGAAUGCUGGAUUCAGAUGUUCUUCAUGAGUGAGCAGUUGCAGCCUCCACGGGCUCACAGUGUGAUCCAAUUAGCCCAGAACACAGGACGUGAACUUGCCAGGCCCUGGCAGGAAGAGCUAACAUCCCACCCCACACCGCACCGUACCCCUACCCCUCUCCUGCACCACCACCACCACACACUGCUAUCGGUAAUUGCUCUGCCAUCUAACUGAAUCUUCAGCUCUGUAACUUGCCUGCCAGCCCUUGAUGCUACGGACAGGAGAUAGAACCUUUAAAGACAGUGCCACCCUGGUGCUCCCAGAGACCUGCUACCGUCCUCCAGAAGCAUGCGUUCAAAGCUGGGCCCUGUCAUCCUAGAUGGCCUAACUUAACACUCAACCAACAAAAUGAUGGGGGUUCGUGGACAAAGAAGAUCUCACCUCUCCUUUGAGGAAACGACAGUCAAGGAGGAGCAGACAGGAAGCUACUGUGCUGGAGAGACGGCUCCAUAGGCUCUCUCUCCUCUCUGGUUCAGAAGUUCGUGGAUGCCAUGGGAUCUAUUCCCACGAACAUAAAGUCAACCCCAGAGAGAAUGGAGCAAAGCCUCCAUAUCCCAGUCCUCUAAGGGACACCACUCACCCGGAUGCCUCACAGAGACUCUGGACGAUAGCCCAGGAAGGACAGCUUGCUUUCUUGAACAAAGAAAGCCUCUGGAUCAGUGGUUCUCAACCUUCCUAACGCUGCAACCUUUGAAUAGAGUUGCUCAUGUUACCGUGACCUCAAUCAGAAGAUUAUUUCACUGCUACUUCAAAACUGCAGUCUUGCUACUGUUCUGGAUUUAGUAUGCUUCUUUCUUCUUCAUUAAUUGAAGGGAGAGGCUCUUCUGAGUUCCAGCUGCUUGACCAAGAACACCCUGGCCAACACCACUCUUGACUCUCUAUUGCCUCUCCCUAUGAGAGCCAGCAGAAGUCCACUCUGAAUCCUUAAGGAUGGUCUCCCUCUAUAGCUCAUCCGUGACUGCUGACAAGAGCGUCUUCACUUUUUGGUGGAAUUGGGGUAGGGGUUUGAUAAGUGGGGUGAGUAGGUGGAGGAUGCAUAGGAACUAAGAGAAGAAGUUAGGUUUAGGGAAACCUUUAAAGCUAUGAGAUAGACCAGUUCUGGCGCCAGACACGUACAACCCCAGCACUGUGGGGCGAAAGCUGGAGAAUCAGAAAUUCAAGGUCAUUUCCAGCUAUAGAGGGAAUUCCAGACUAACCUGGGCUAUUGAGACCCUAUCUCAUAAAAGCAAAGAAAUGAGAAUAAAUGAAGCCUCAUUAACAGAUGGACCACCCCGGGUGCUCGAUGUUGUGAAAAAAGAAAUGAGAACUUUGGAUUCAGCCUCAGAAAGCUUUAAUACGUAAGCAAACAGAUAAAUAGCAGUAAAUACGUUCACAGACAUGAACGAGGUCACUGCUUCUAAGAGACAGGCCUUCACUAGAGUGGUAGAGACAGAAGACACAAGGAAACAUAGGAACCCAAAGGUCACAGCGCUUGGACACUGCGGUGGUUUGAAUAAGAAUGGCCACCACAGGCUCAAAUAUUUGAAUGUUUUAUUAAGGAGCGGUACUACUUGAAAGAGAUUCGAAGGUGUGGCCUUAUUGGAGGAAACGUGCCACUGGGCACAGGCUUUGGGAUUUCAGAAGCCCAAGCCAGGCCCCAUGAUUAUCACUCUUUCUGCUACCUGCAGAUCCAGACGCAGAACUCUGAGCUUCUUCUCCAGCACCACAUCUGCCUACGUACUACAUCCUUUCUGUCAUGAUGAGAAUGGGCUACACUUGUGAAGCUUCACCGUCACCAUGAGCUGAGCAACUGUUCUCCACCAUGUGUUCUGCCUCAUCGUAGGGUCAAAAAUAAAAACAAAACCAAAAAGCAAUGACCAGCUGCCCCUGAACAGAAGCCUCUGAAACCAUGAGCCAAUAUAACCCAUUCCUCCUUCUGAUUCACUCAUCUCGAGUAUUUUCUCACGGUGAUAAUGAACUGAUUAGCAUAUGAAUGAAAGAAAAAAAUUGUUUUCCAUGACAUGGCAAGAAAGGAACUCGAGUGUCUGUUGUUUCUAUUCAAGAGGUGUACAUUUUUCACAGAUGAGAAAUCCUGAGAUGAGAAACCAAGGGUGAUGUCAGGCUAUGUGGUGAGUCAGUGUGGGAAACCCUUCACCGUUGCUCCCUCAUGCUGUUGAUAAUUCUCCCACUGUUCACUGGUGUUGUGAAAUUAUCAAUCCCUAGUCUAACAUGCCCAUUCCUAAGUACCUACCGUUCAGGGCUCACCGUCAAAGAGCCACACUACAUCUGCAUCGUUUCCCUCCUCGGUUUUCACACACAGCUGUGAUUCCACGGCUUCGCUUCUCCUGGUGGUGGGACUGCCGUGACUCCCCCAGUAGCUGAACAAGACCCAGCUGCCCUGGACCUGGAAAGAUUACAGAGGUGGCUGCCUUAAAAUGAUCGACCAAGUCUAUGAUACUUUUCUGACGGCCUCCUCUUCACAUGCUUCGACUCGUUCAUUUUCAUCUCAACAGUAGGAGUUUUGACUUUUGGUCUCUCAUUCUGUCGUGAUCCUGGUCAGAGGUAGUGAGCUGCAGUCACUUGGUUGUCAAGGAAACAAUUCAGAUUUUACAGUGUGCUGUGCUGCUCAGCUAUGAUGUGUGCUCGGCUAGCUAUGUUCAGUGCCUUUUGCCUUAAAUGUCUUUUCAAGUUACAGUGGGAUUAUAGGCGCAUAACUCCACUGUCAGCCAUGGAGCGACCGUCUGGUGAGCAUGCAGAUGGCUUGUUGCUUCAGACCCUGAGUCAGAGGUGAAAUGAGACCAAGAAGGGACGAGUGGAAGGAAAUGGAAGAGGCAGCAGCCCCUCCUCCCUGACAUCAGCCUUGGCAAGGGUGGCUUUGGCCACUUGCUGUGUACUCUUGGCAUCAGCUGAGAACUUUGGGUUAUCACUGUGUUUGCUACUGGUCUGUCUGCAAGGUGCAAACUACCGUGACCAAUCGAGAGAGAAAGGUGAAUGUCAGCAUAUGUGUCUUUUUGAAAUGCAAAUGACUCUCAGGAAAGGUAAUAAUAAUUGCUAUGGCUCUUGUAAAAUUAAAAAAAAAAACAGAAAAACUUCAGGCAUACUCCUCCAAGCCCAUACAGCACCUCUUGCAUGAACUUUACCCAUUCAACUGCAGGAAAUGAACAUCAUGAGAGUCCCAGGACUUUUAGGUCAAAUAAACCUCAGGCAUCCUUUCUGUGCUGCAGGAUGGAAAAUAUUCUUAGCAUCCUAGAUGAGCAACAUCCACUCCUUUCACUUUAGAGAAAAAGAUGUUUAUGUCCCCUUGCUUUCUUUUACCAUAGCCAAAUUAUUCUGUCUCACAAGUGUUCAUUGUUUUGUUUGUUUUAUUUAAAUUGAACUACCUGAUAUCAAUCACUCUGAUAACAAGUUGAGUUUCAAAAAUUAUAGCUAAAUAUAUAUAUAAAUAUAUAUUAUAAAAUAGAACUAAAUAUAUAUAAUUAAACCAGCCAGUAAUAGUUAUUUAAAAUACCAGCCACUGUUGCUUGGCUUUGAGUUUUUGUAAUGUGACCUCAAUAUGUAACCGAGGCUAACCUUGAACUCAUGAUCCUCUUGCUUCUACCUCCACACUCUGAGAUUGCAAGCAUGUACCACCAUGCUCAAUGGAAAGCAAACAAAUAAAACAAACAAAAACAAACAUUUUUUAAAUGACAUGUUCAAAAAUGAGUCAACCUUAAGGGUCUUGCCUCUUUUGACAUUCUAUACUUUUUUUGAAAUCGUUUUAUUUUGAAGCUUAUUCUUGUCAUGUGUAAGAGUCUCAGAAGAUUAAAGAAAUAUUUUUGUCUGC
Molecule: non-coding RNA, 4465 nt
Organism: Myodes glareolus (Bank vole)
Lineage: Eukaryota; Metazoa; Chordata; Mammalia; Rodentia; Cricetidae
Source: RefSeq, a predicted model, not a curated record